AUUGAACGCUGGCGGAAUGCUUUACACAUGCAAGUCGAACGGCAGCACGGGGCAACCUGGUGGCGAGUGGCGAACGGGUGAGUAAUACAUCGGAACGUGCCCAGUCGUGGGGGAUAACGUAGCGAAAGCUACGCUAAUACCGCAUACGAUCUACGGAUGAAAGACGGGGGACGUCGCAAGAGCCUCGCGCGAUUGGAGCGGCCGAUGGCAGAUUAGGUAGUUGGUGGGGUAAAGGACGUCACCAAGCCUGCGAUCUGUAGCUGGUCUGAGAGGACGACCAGCCACACUGGAACUGAGACACGGUCCAGACUCCUACGGGAGGCAGCAGU
RNAcentral lists this ribosomal RNA (329 nucleotides) under uncultured bacterium. Its description in RNAcentral is "bacterial SSU rRNA". It matches the Rfam family "Bacterial small subunit ribosomal RNA", at positions 30 to 355 of the family's 1533-position model. The record is from RNAcentral.